UCAACUUUUUAAAAAUAAAAAUCAUCAAAGUAGAAAAUACAAGUUAUAUUUUUUUAAUCAAGUUUGUUAUUGUGACUAUGGACUCUAAAAAAAGACAGAAGUAUCAAAAAUGUAACGAGGAAGCUGUUAUGGUCGCUGUCGCUGAUGUUCAAGAAAAUCAUUUUUUAAGUAAAAGGCAAGUUUAAAAUGUACCUUCUCAGACAUUCGGUGAUAGAAUAAAUGGCAAAUACGGUGCCGCCAAGCAAAAGAUAGGUCGCGAACUUGCUUUAGAAAAAGAGGACAAAGAAAGAGUAAAAGACUUUUUGAAUAAAGCAGCAAAAGUAGGAUAUGGUAUUUGCCAAAACGAUGUACCAAGCAUAGUAAAAAAUUAUUUAGACAUUAAAGAAAAGCAGCAUAUAACAGAGCAUCAAGUUAACAAUAAAAAAAACAACCGAUAUGACAGCUCAUAGAAAGUUUGUGAAUAAUCUGCAAAGCAAGUUUUGGAUCUACAGGUUUUUCAGGUAUUCAGACCUUGCUAGAAGAAUGCCUGAAAAUUUGGGCCACCAGCGGCGAAACGUUUGAAACGACAAUGGGAAGGCUGAAAAUAAUAGUCUCAAAGGGUAUAAAGAAUGUUUAUCGCAUAGCCCCUGACACAAAAACGCCAAUAACAGUUCUUGGCUGUGCAUCCGGAAAUGAAAACUACUAAAAACCUCAAGUUAUAUUUCCAGGAGCACAGCCUCGUUACAAUUUAGACCAUGUAAAUCCAUCUGACUUAUGUUCUUCAAUUUAGACCACGUAAAUCCGUCUGACUGAGUUCAAUUCUUAAUUGUUUUUUAUUUUAUUGGUUUAUAAAAAUUUCUAAGUAUUUUUUAGUUUUCUCUUAAGCAUUAACGAAAGAUAUAUUUUCAGUGCCA
Hydra vulgaris (swiftwater hydra) is the source of this 893-nucleotide long non-coding RNA. RefSeq lists it as uncharacterized. The record is from RefSeq and is a predicted model, not a curated record. NCBI's taxonomy places the organism in Eukaryota, Metazoa, Cnidaria, Hydrozoa, Anthoathecata, Hydridae.